Molecule: long non-coding RNA, 670 nt
Organism: Silurus meridionalis
Lineage: Eukaryota; Metazoa; Chordata; Actinopteri; Siluriformes; Siluridae
Exons: 3
Source: RefSeq, a predicted model, not a curated record
GUUUGAGCUUUCUGUAAGUACACUCACUCACAUUUCCACUAAUGCAAGUGGAAAUCUUAACAACUUCAAGACCAGCUGGGCAAAAGAUGAAAGCAUCUCAUGCAGAGACGAACACUGGUUGCAUGGAUGCAGCUCUAAGUGAACCGGAAGGUCAGGACUGGAAUCACUUGAGAUGCAGUUAGAAGCCUAGAGCCUGUAACUCUCCAGAGAACUAGAAGUAACCAAAGCCCAGCAUUUGGUCAUUCCAGAUGCACCCUGCCUGGUGUUCUGGUGUAGCUGAAAUAAUUAUGCGCUGUUCCCUGACGUGUCACUCGUCCGUCCCUCCUGGAGGUUCCACGGACAGAGGAAGCGUUUCCGCUGUCUCCUACAAUGUGGAAUUACCGAGAGCUGUGUUUUAACAUGUCACGUUGAGAGUAGACAGAUUCUGGCAACGAGAGGAUCUUUUGUCUCUGUGUGUGUGUGUGUGUGUGUGUGUGUGUGUGUGUGUUGUCUUUGUGUGGGGGUGUGUGUGUGAGUGUGAUGUUCUCAGCAUUGUACGUGACAUUUUGUAGUAGUGGAAGCUUAUUGUACGGCCCAUCAAGCGUGAAGGAUGAAAUAAUUAAUAAACAUUGCAGUAUGAAGCGCUGCCCUCAGCUGCACUUUGGAUUUGUCACUGUUAGAAUUGUCAUAA